This 500-nucleotide ribosomal RNA is filed under the name uncultured bacterium. Its description in RNAcentral is "bacterial SSU rRNA". It matches the Rfam family "Bacterial small subunit ribosomal RNA", at positions 28 to 521 of the family's 1533-position model. The record is from RNAcentral.
GAUGAACGCUAGCGACAGGCUUAACACAUGCAAGUCGAGGGGUAACAGGGUAGCAAUACCGCUGACGACCGGCGCACGGGUGAGUAACGCGUAUGCAACCUGCCUAUAACUGGGGAAUAGCUCCCUGAAAGGGGAAUUAACACCGCAUAACACUAUUGAUUCGCAUGGAUUAGUAGUUAAAUGUAGCGAUACAGGUUAUAGAUGGGCAUGCGUGACAUUAGCUAGUUGGUGAGGUAACGGCUCACCAAGGCUACGAUGUCUAGGGGUUCUGAGAGGAAGGUCCCCCACACUGGUACUGAGACACGGCCCAGACUCCUACGGGAGGCAGCAGUAGGGAAUAUUGGGCAAUGGGCGAAAGCCUGACCCAGCCAUGCCGCGUGAAGGAAGACGGCCUUAUGGGUUGUAAACUUCUUUACUACGCGAAUAGAGGUUAGUACGAGAUACUAAUAGGAAGGUAGUGUAGUAAAAGCACCGGCUAACUCCGUGCCAGCAGCCGCGGU